This is a non-coding RNA of Pelobates cultripes (western spadefoot toad), 4015 nucleotides long. The record is from the annotation of a GenBank genome assembly. NCBI's taxonomy places the organism in Eukaryota, Metazoa, Chordata, Amphibia, Anura, Pelobatidae.
CUUGUCAUUUAGCAGUUUGAUAAUAAUCUUGUUGCGUUCAGUCAGUUCGCCAAUAAACAAUAUGAUGGUGGAUAUAUACAAAAGCAAUCCUGAACUAUUGUCGUAGCUAUGCAUUACGGGUUAGUGUUUCCAUGUAAUUAUAUAGGAAACCUGUUUGGGUGCACUAUCUGCAGGUGAGGUUUACUGAUGAGAUAAACGUAAUUACUUCUUGUGAAAGUGAGAUAUUGUUACAGUGGAAAUAUUGCAUAGUUCUUACAAUGCAUGAUUGUCCCUUCCAUUCUAUAUAAACAGCUUAUGAGUUAGUGCUGGCAGAUGUGGUACUGGAGGAGGGGGAUGCGGACAGAUAAUUGUUCUGAAUCCUGACACAUAUUUCACAUUAGAUGUACCUUCGAGACAUCCGCAGCUUAUAAACACAGGGUUGCAGAGCCCAUUUGUGCAGUCACCCAUAGCAGAUUGGCUGGUAGACUUGAAGUUAUUUCAAGUAUGGAACAAGAUAACAAACCUAUUUUUUUUUUUAUCACAUGAAAUAAUUCUAUAACAAUUCAGAAAAUAAAGGACACUCCAGAAGAGUUCGCUGUAGCAAUAAUAAAAGAGCUUGAAGGGACACUACUGUUACCAAAAUAACUUUAGCUUAAAGGAACACUCCACGCACCAUAACAACUUCAUUGAAAUGAUGAAUCCUGCUCUGUAAAUUGAACUUUAUGACCAGUGCCACCAUAGUAAACCUUGUGUUUUGUUUCCAUUGGUUGGAUCAAGUACAGUGUGUUUAUCAAAGACCAAAAUGUGGGUGCUGGUCAAGUGUUGUCUGAUCUAUUUUAUUUUCCCGGGCACAUCAAUCAUACAUAUUGCUGGGCAACACAUGGAAAGACCUGCCCUGCAAAUAGCAGAACCUUAAAGGGAAACUCAACUUCCCAAAUUCAAAGUGAAAACUUGCACGCAUUUAAAUAUGAAAUUUUUCAUUCGAGUUAUAUCUAAAAACAGUUCGAAAAAACUGCAGAUCUCUUUUCUGCUGAGUUUUGCAAGCCCUUGUCUUCUAAUCCAGCCCAGACGUUCGACGGCUGUCCAAUCACAGACUUCCCAAUACAGCUCAAUGGGAAGUCUUUGCAAGGCGGGUGCUCUGGGCAAUUGGCUGCCUCUUGAGUUCAGUGCAACUAAGCUAAUCAAACCAGGAAGUAACAGGACCAGUUGUCUGCUUGAAAAGCCAGUGGGUGUAACCAGUAUAAUUUAUAAAAGUGUCAAUUUUUAUUGAAAUCUGCACUUUUUCCAAAAUGGAAAAAAUAGGACACACUCUUCACACAUAAAGCUUUUCAGAAAUCUAAAGUGCUUUAGGGGUCUGGAGGGGUCCCUUUAAUGCUGUAUGCAAGAUAUAUAUUUAUUGUGCUGAAUGCUGCAGUGUAUGAAUGCAAUAUUAUGAAGGGCAUCCAUCACCAUGAAGAGGGGAUACAUGUUCAGUUUAACAUGAUGGAUCUAGACACGCUGUAGCUGACUCAUGAUUUCAGAGUCGCUGUGGUAAUGCAUAAAAAAAUAAAUCAAUAUUUGAACUUGCAUUUGUAGAUUUGUUUUUGAAGUGUUGUAGAAAAGAAUAUUUUUUUUCUAGGCUAUUAGCCUAUCAAAAUUAACGCUGUAUAUGUAAAUGUAAUUCAUAGAGGAGAAAUGUAUUUGUUGUCACAUGCGCCAUCAAUCAGGAUGGGUAAACCGGAAUGUGUUUUGGGCAUUAAUUCACCAAGUAUGUGUCAGACAACUGUAUGUGCGCACCAGACUUAUGUUGUACAUCGUCACUGCUAUUGUUUGCACUUUAAACCAUCCACACAGAGGCAGGGAAUCCGACAGAUACAUCUGAGCACGGAAACCUUACCAAGACCAGGAGGCCUCCUUGUCCGACUGCUUUAUUUAGGCUUUUAUUUUUUAUUUUAAAAUACUUGCUUUUCCGGUGUCUUUAUUUCUCUCUCGCGAGUGAAACGUCUGCAUGAGUGUUUUAAUAUGUCGUAAGUUGAUAUGCUCCAUGCUUCUCUGAUGUUUUUACCUGUAGCUUCUGUUAGCCUAUAUAUUGAAUUUCAAACACUGAUACAGAUAAAUUUAGGUAACCUGAGAAUCUUCCUUUUAUUAAGGUCAGUUCUGUUUGUAUGUGUGUACACUGAUAAAUAUCAUGAAAGUUUUAUAUAUAAUAUUAUAUUUAUAUAAUAAGCCCAAUAAAUGGCUUUUAGAUUCACUAUGUUUACAGUUGAAUAGUCUAUCAUUGUUUUAUGGAAGAAUAAGCUAUUAUAUAUCAUGUGGGUAUGUUUCUGUAUGUUAUUUAUUAUAGUGUUGCGGUCAAUCGUAACAUCGUUAAAACAUUGUCAGUUGCCAUACUGCUACAGGGAGCAACGUCACAAACUUUGGGCUUUUUGACCGUGUUCUGGUUCCGUUCAGUUUUUUACAUAAUCUCUUCUAUGGAAAUCGGAGUGUUAUGACUCUUUGUGUAACUCAGAACUGGGCUUCCAAAAAUAUUGUUUUGAUCUUAUUGAACAUAAUUAUCACCUAAUGUCCCCAGUUAUAUCUCACCAUAGUACAAGCUGAGUCCCCUAAAUUGUACGGUAUAGGAGUUAUGAUAGACACGUGAUCUCUCCCUUCCUGUCAUAAUGACCUCUGCCUAUGUAGUAUUUAUUAUUUAAUGCACACAAAGAGUCUGAAUUAUUCAUUUUUACUUGCUUUUCAAACAUCAGUUCCUCUAGAUGGGGAAUAGGGAAAGUUUAGUGUCAUGGUGCAUCAUGGGGGACGUAGUCCACAGCAGCUAGAUUGGCAAAUGUUGCCUAUUUCUGAGUCUAGAUAUCCCAUGUGCAGGAGGAAAUUGUAUCCCUUUGUAGCUGGAUUGCAGUACAUGUUAAAUUAUAUCUAAUAUUUUCAGUUGAUUUAUUUGUUUAAUUAUCCUGGCUAUUACCCUAGAUUGUGUGUGUGCAGUGUUUAAUAGGUGUACAUAAUGUGCUAAAGUAGCUAUAAUUAUAGAGAGAAGUAAUUACAUAAUACAUAGAAUAUAUUGUGAGCCUCGACUGUAGGAAUUUAAAAAAUUCAAAUCACUAUUUUUAUUACCAUGAUAUUUUAAAAUAAAGACUGUUUAGAAAAAAAGCACUGUAUUUAUUGGUGUGAAGUUCUGGCGACCGCACUGAUAGCCUGCUAACAUAGGUAUUUUUGGUAGAUAUUGCAUUCAGCCCUGUUUGCUAGGCUCUGAGUUUGAAUGUAUAGCUACAAUCAGGUGGUUUUUUUUGGGCUCAACUUGGGCCGAUCUAUUUGAACUACAAAUUGGAGAUGUCAUAUUUCAUCAAUAUUGUGUUUCUAAGAAAUUCAAUGCUGACGACCUCUGUAGCUGAAGUCACCAUGACACCAUAUGUAAUCCUUGCUGCAUCGGAUCCUUCUUUGGACCUGCUUUGUUCUGUUGCACUCAACUCUAAAAAUAGAGUUAGCGUUGGGUUUUACGGGAUCAUACCUGCCCAAGGUUAUAGCCAAAUUGUGGAGUCUUUCUGAAUUGUAUCCUUGGUCUCCUGAGUGGGCAUUUACGAUGGUAAUUUUGUGAUUUUAUAUUGAGAUUAUCACUUAAAGGCUGUACUCAAGGCAACUUUGGGGUUUAGUUAGGUCCAGUGGGAAAAUUUCUAAAAAUGCCACUAGCUGAAAAGUGGGCCAAGGUUCUAAAAGAGAAGCCAUCUCCGUGGAAACCAACAGAAUCAUCAGAAGAAUUUCCAUUGGUUUCUAUGGAGAUUUCUCCAAUUUUAGAACUUCGCCUACUUUUCUGUUUCUUAAAUAUUCCCCAUGGGGAUUCAUUCCAAAUCAUGUCAUGUUGAUACCAAAGGGAUAUUGCUUAAAUAUAUGAUAUAAAAUACGUGCAUAUGACAUGCUAAGUUCUUUCCUAUCAGCCAGCUGUAAGAGGUCGUACCAUUAACCCAUUACUGACCAGUAGAAAGUGUGAUGUUCUAUGUUAGUCAUGUUAAAAUGUUUGUUUCUCACGUCAAAAAAAUAAAUAAAAAUAUUUUAAUAAAUCCGUUAA